AAAAAUGGAGUCACAAGAAUAUAUUAUUAAUCGUGUAAUUCAGGUAGCACACUUGGUUUAUGAUCAAUUGAUCAUUGAUGCCCCUUCAACAAAUCCAGUUGACACAACGGUAACAGUAAGCGCCGCAGCCGGUGUUGGCGUAGUAUUGUUAUUUUCAAUAGUUAUUUGGAUGUAUUGCAAGAGAUCCAAGCCUCGACAGCCAGCUGCUCACGAGGUUGAGACCUAUGCUACCGCCAGAGUACAGUACGUGGAAGUCCAGCCAGUGCAAUCGGGAGCAAGAUUUUUCAAUCGAAACGACACUCCUUACGCGCAGAUCGUUGGUGUUUUGGAGCCCGUUUACAGUAGCAGAUAAAUAUUCAGUGGCGGAUACCAGCAGGCUGAGUAAGCUGAAGCCAAGGGCGGCAAAUUUUAGGGCUAUAUUUCACCGGGACACCAUGGCGGCGCAACCAGUCGCCGGCUACCAACAAAAUGUAUACAGCUCUCUAUAGAGUUACUCACUGUCCGUUUGGUUGCGCAACCAAUUUGGCGGCGCAACCAACUCGGACGCGUGCUCAGAAUGUUACUGGUUGCGCCGCCACACUGGUCGCGCCACCACUAAUUUCUAUAGCGCUGUAUGGUGUCUCACUCACUCGGCCGCCAGUCCGGCCGCCAGUGACGCCCCCACCUCAUUGCAUGCAGCACGUAUCGCACUGUUAUGUUUUAUUUUUAACUGCUUAUUUUAAUAUUUUAGUUGUUUGUUAAUU
Long non-coding RNA from Ostrinia furnacalis (Asian corn borer), 743 nucleotides. RefSeq lists it as uncharacterized. NCBI's taxonomy places the organism in Eukaryota, Metazoa, Arthropoda, Insecta, Lepidoptera, Crambidae. The transcript is spliced from 3 exons. The record is from RefSeq and is a predicted model, not a curated record.